UAGGGAAUCUUCCGCAAUGCGCGAAAGCCUGACGGAGCAACGCCGCGUGAGUGAUGAAGGUCUUCGGAUCGUAAAACUCUGUUAUUAGGGAAGAACAAAUGUGUAAGUAACUAUGCACGUCUUGACGGUACCUAAUCAGAAAGCCACGGCUAACUACGUGCCAGCAGCCGCGGUAAUACGUAGGUGGCAAGCGUUAUCCGGAAUUAUUGGGCGUAAAGCGCGCGUAGGCGGUUUUUUAAGUCUGAUGUGAAAGCCCACGGCUCAACCGUGGAGGGUAAUUGGAAACUGGAAAACUUGAGUGCAGAGGAGGAAAGUGGAAUUCCAUGUGUAGCGGUGAAAUGCGCAGAGAUAUGGGGGAACACCAGUGGCGAAGGCGACUUUCUGGUCUGUAACUGACGCUGAUGUGCGAAAGCGUGAGGAUCAAACAGG
RNAcentral lists this ribosomal RNA (429 nucleotides) under Actinomycetes bacterium. RNAcentral's name for it is "Actinobacteria bacterium partial 16S ribosomal RNA". It matches the Rfam family "Bacterial small subunit ribosomal RNA", at positions 355 to 776 of the family's 1533-position model. Lineage: Bacteria; Bacillati; Actinomycetota; Actinomycetes. The record is from RNAcentral.